This is a non-coding RNA of Rattus norvegicus (Norway rat), 5593 nucleotides long. NCBI's taxonomy places the organism in Eukaryota, Metazoa, Chordata, Mammalia, Rodentia, Muridae. The record is from RefSeq and is a predicted model, not a curated record.
UGGAGAUGGGGGAGCGGUGCACAACCUAGCAAGGAACCCGGAUUUUAGACUUAGGGAGACACGUGUCUACUGGUGGUUGUCAUUGUCUCACCGCCCAAUUAUGUGUCUACCCAGACAACAGAGAUGCCCUAUGUCUGAUUUCCGUCAUCUUCCCAUUGCCCAGGAGAGCAUCACACUGUAGUAAGGGCUCAGUAAGUACCCAGAACAUGUGCACAGAGGCUCACACGCUGCUCCAGACUUAGCAGCUUUGUGGCUUUAUGUGCUUUUAAAAAAAGAAAAAGAAAAAAAAACCCAUCGCUUUUUCUGAGUUUGUUCCAUUCAAUUUGGUUGCAAAAUGUGUGCGACCAUGCAGAAGAGUGGUUGGCACAGCCUUGUGCUUCAUAAACGUUGUCAACAGUAAGGUGAAUUAUUCGGGGGUGAGUAUUCUUUUUCUAUUUAUUCAGCUACUAUUUGCCGAAUGUCAGAUUAGGGCCAGCUACUGUUCUAUGAGGGGGGACUCGAAGGGUCUGUAAUAUUAUGGUUCUUAUACUCCAGUGGCCAAUGUGCUAUGGGGAUCCACCUGUUUCCACCUCCUAAGUUCUGGGAAUAUAAGAACAUGCCACUAUGCCUGACAUGUUUUCUUUUUUUAAACAUGGAUUUUGGAAUCACAUGGAUUUUGGAAUCAAACACAGGGCUCCAUGUCUGCAGAACAUGCACCUGACUGACUGAGCUGUCUCUACGACCUCAAAGUUUUAGACUUUGCGAUUGUCUUUUCUUUUUUUUUUUUUUUAUAAUUGUUCACAUCACGGCAUUUUGCCUGCUCUGUGAGUUAUGUGCUUGUCACUAUCACGUCCAUUCAGCAGGCCAGGGAGCUAAGGCCCAACAAGGCAAUUUGCCAAAUCCAGACGGUUUGUGACUCGUGGACAAUCGAGGAAGACCAUUUCCAAACCUCAAAGCUUUUCUGCCUACAUUGUGUAGCGUCCCUAAUGGUUUGAGCAGAAAGGGGACCCAGUCAGCACUGCAUAUCCACACCAACUCUCCUGGGCUUUGAGGUCUCCCUUUUUCCUUCUCCCUCCCCUUUCCUCCCCUCCUCACUCUCCACUUCCCUUCUUUUCCUCUCUCUCCUCUCCCAUUGUGUUCCUUCUCUCCUCCCCUCCAUUUACUUUCUCCCUUCCCCUUUCCUCUUUCCCUCUCCCCUUCCUUCCCUCCAUUCCCUUUCCUCCCCUCCUCCUCCCCUUUCCACUUUCAUUCCCUCCCCCUUCCCCACUUUCUCUUCCUCUCUCAUCCUGUUCCUCUCCCCUGUCCUCCACUUGUUCCCCCCUCCCCUUCCUUCCCCUCCAGUGCCCUUCCCUCCCCUCCUUCUUUUCUCUCUCCUCCCCUUCCUUCCCCUCCCCCUCCCGUGCCCUUCCUUCCCCUCCUUCUCUUUUUCUAACCUCCCCUUCCUUUGCCUUUCCUUUCCUUAUUUAAUUUUCUAUCUUUUAACUUUCGUUGUACGAAUUGAAGUCUGUGGUUCCCGUCCCAAUUAUACACUGCUCUAAAGUCGGGUUUUAUUCUUUUUGACAUACCGUCCAUUUCUUACCUUGCAUGUCCAUUAAUCAAGCUUAAGUAGUCUUGGAGUUCCCUUUGUGCAGCUAGAAUUUGGAAGGUGGUGAAGUAUCAGUCUUCCAGCUUUCAGCACCAUUUUCCCCAGAUAUAAACCAACUCAGCGAGAAAGUCUACUCUGUUUGCCAUGUGAGGGUGUCUAUUUCCAUGAUCAAGAGGAAUGUGGUCCUUAAUUCUAUCUCUGUGUGGGACAAAGGAAAGAGGUGAUCUUCAGAAUAAACUCCUCUGAAGACAAUCUUAUGUUAGCAAUUUGGAGCUUAGAAACAACAUGUAAGCUGCACAUAGAUCAACUGUGGGGUUGAAUCUUGAUGCUGGCAGUCACGUUUUGUCCAAAGUCACAAGGACCAAUAUGUUACCUGCCGCAUCAAAGCUGAUGUUCCGGGGCUGGGGAUUUAGCUCAGUGGUAGAGCGCUUACCUAGGAAGCGCAAGGCCCUGGGUUCGGUCCCCAGCUCCGAAAAAGAGAACCAAAAAAAAAAAAAAAAAAAAAAAGCUGAUGUUCCAUGCAAACCCUUGGGAAAAAGGUUGAGAAUCUUUGACCUGCUAAACUGUCAUUGGAUUGGAGAUUUUAUUACCUUUUCUUUCUUUUUUUCUUUUUCCAGGCAACAUUGAUGAUUUUUCUCUGAUGUUGUGGAAGCCAUGGGAAAAUGGGCUCAGAAGAAUCCCCACACUGUGAAAUGCGAGUCAGUCUUGGUUAGGAGGAGAAAUGUGACCCCUGUGAAUGAGUUGUUUGACGUCCUAAGGGGAUACAACCCACAGGUUGAGAACAACUGCCUCAAGAACUACAACAGCCAAGACCAACCUGAUGUCAGACAUAGCGAAGAAGGCACGGCCCCCUUUCCUACCAGUUUUUGGGUGUUUGAAUUUAAUCUGCAACUGCCAGCUACCCAGUCUCAGGCAAAUGACAUUACACUGUACCAUUGCAAAGGGAUCUGUGGCAUAAAUAAAUGUAUCGGGAGGUCAAGAGGUCAAGAGCAUAAACGAGGCAAAGAUUUCAAAGAAAUCACCGACCAAAUGAUUUAUAAAUCAUGGAAAACACUGCUCCGGCCAUAAAAGAGAAAUUAAAUUUAUACAUCAUGAGCUUCAGGAUGCCUUGGGUUCUGAUCUACAGGAAUGCCUGACCCGGACAUGAUGGCCUGUGCAUAAAACUAAAGUGGUUUCAUGGGGCUCUCGCAGAAAACACCUUCGAUUUGGAACGUCACUCAUGAGCUAAGCAGAUGGGAAGUGGCGAAUGAUACUUGCGAAUGGCCCGCAGACUUUGAAACGGAUUUAUGUCUUUAGGACAUAACUGAUAGAGACUUGAAAUUGGGGCUAGUUUUAAAGUUGUCCUAGGAACAGAUUUUUGCUAAUCUACUAAAUAGAAACAAUAUGCUAGUUUCUAGCUUGACGUGCAGAUGGCUGGUGAUGACAGAGGACCCUUUGCUCUCAUGAUCCAAAGUUAAACUGCAGCGAGGUGUGUCCUGUCUCUCCUUCCCAGUUUUCUGUCCUCCCUCCCUUCGUUUUUCAUUUACCCUCCCCCCUGUAUACUAUUUAAAAAAAAAAUCCCCACUUUGGCUUUUAAUUAUUUGAGAGAAUAAGGCCUUUGGGUCAAUAUGUGUUGGGUCAUGUAUUUUGAUUUUUAAAAAUGGUACAAGAUACAGUUCACUAAAGCCCUAGAGAGAAGGGGAAUGGGGGGAAUUGUAUUUCCUCCCCCCCUUAAUGUUUUUUCUUUGCUCAUCUUCACCUAGGCAUAUGUUAAAGAAGAUGUUAGGAACAGACUGCCCAAGCAUAUUCACUUACAUCAUCAAAACUGGAUUGCAAGUCACCUUGCUUGAGGACUGUCCUCUGCAAUAUCCCCUCUCCGUUUCUUUGUAACUAGGGAUUUGGGUGAUUAUGGGUGGGGUCGGAAUCCAGGUACUUAAGUUGGUUGGGAAAAUUCCCACAUGAAAAGGAUGCUCUGUGUUUCCUGCCUUGGACCUGUCCUGAAUCCCCAGAGGCCCAGCCAUUCUUGGAAUUAUUUCUUUCUCCAAAGAAAUCAAAUACACAAAGUUGAACGAGUUAAAAUGAGUAUCACUUGUAAGCUAUACCUGCUUUUUAUUUUCCUUUUUUUUUUUUUGCCUAUUUUCUUUGCUUUUGCACUUUAAAGAAAAGCAAACGUGAAAAACAUGGAUAUUUUUUUUUGCAAAGAUUAUGUAUAACCCUGCACAUACUUUUGGUGGUUUUAGUAGAUGUUCUCGUAGCAAUUGAAUUAAACCGAGUCCACAUUGCUAUGCAAUCAAAGGCAGAAUAGGAUUUUGGUAUCUUAGCCAAAAGAUAGGGAUUAUGUGUUUGAGGGGUUGGGUGCUGCACCAGGAUGCACGUUCAUUUGCAUACGUGGGGAGCCAUUAGGAAUUCUGAAUGGUUUCUCUUUAGCCUACUUAGUUGUACUUGUAAUUGCUUCCCCAGUGUACCGUGUUUCCAGUGUUUUCAAAUACACACGAGUCUCUCAGAGUUGGUCUUAAGCAUUGGGUCUAUGAGGAGAAUGUAUCUCUCGGCUCCUACUAAAACACUUGGCUGAGUUUGUUACAUCUUAAAAUUUUAUUUGUUUUCCUGGCAGGGAGCAAUCUGUUUUUUACCAUUCUUGCCUUUUCUGGUCUGUUGGCUUUUGAUCAUAUUGCAUGGUGUUUUUAACCCCAAGAUAUAUCGAUACAUAAACCUGUAAUCUUGACCCUGCAAGCAGAGAGGGGGCUGAGGUAACAAGGAAAAAGGUUGUAGGGUGUGGCCCAUGCAUUAUUCCAGAGCUGUAAGGGACUCACCCAUGAUAGAGGGAGUAGCCUUAGGCUGUGAGUUUAAGCUGAGAGUGAUCUAGUAACACUGGUCUGACCAGGAAAAGCAACCCCAUCUCUGUAAAUUUCUCUAAUUGCUUUUUAUCCUUCAUGCUGAAGAUUGAACCCAGGGUCUUACACGUGACAAAAUAAGCUCUUUACCACUCAGUCAGAAACCAGCCCUUUUAAUUUUUCUGAUAUAUAAUUUCUUUUAAUACUUUCUGACUUAAGACAUCAGAUCUAAUUCACCAGGGCCUGUUUUAAACAGCAGGGAAGAAUCUCUUACAGUUAGUGGAUCUGGUUCUGAAGACUGAGAUUUAAGGGUUCUUUCUAUUCUAUUUUUUAUUUUUGUUACAGUGGUCUCAGUAUGUAGUCCUGGCUAUUCUGGACUUCACUAAGAAGACCACUAAGCUAGGCUUACCUUGAACUCUCAGAGAUCCACCUGUGUCUUCCUCCCAAGUGCUGGGAUUAAAUAAAGAUGUGUGCCUCCAGGCCUAGGACUUAAGAGUUUUUGAUAUUCUGUUUUCUGGUUUUGUCUUAACAAAUGCUACCUCUAUUUCCUGCUGUUGCGCUGACAGUCCUGUGUAAUGUAUAGCAACAGAAUUGACAACCACUGUCUCUGAGGUUAAGAGUUCAAAUCCCACCUCAGUCAUUUACUAGCUGUGUGAUCUUGUGCUAAUAAUUCAAUCUGUCUGUGCCUCCACAAAGGUAGAAGCACACACCAUGUGCUAUGACUAUGAGGCCUAAGUAAGGGCCUAAGUCUAGGCACAGCGCUGGUACUUCUUCAGAUCUAGCUCCUAUUGGUACUAUUACGGGGGUUUAGCAUCUUGUUUAGGCCAUGCUUUUUCCAUGUGGCAGAUGGGGCCCUCUCAUGCUAACAUGGUUAACAUUAGUUAAGCAUAAAUUAAAAAUAAUUCUCCUGUGUCCGUGCUCUUUGGUUCCCCCAAAGUGAAUGAGUAAAUUCACUGUCACAGGCUGGGGGUGGGACUAGGGGCAUCGGUCUGAGCACCGUGAUUUUAUGAUUCAGAAAAAAAAAAAAGGAGACGCAGAGUGAAUUUCUGACGUGAGGGAAGAGCACUGGAUUUUGAGUUGGAUGAUAUUCCAACCCCCCAAAAAGUAUGACCUUGGGCACAUCGUGUGUCCUCCCAGAAUCACAUCAGCCAAAUGAGAAGAGGAGUGAUGAGCCCCGCUCUGCACGUUUCCCAGGGUUGAUGAGAUCCAAUUAGAGGAA